Molecule: ribosomal RNA, 467 nt
Filed under: uncultured bacterium
Lineage: Bacteria
Description: partial 16S ribosomal RNA
Rfam family: Bacterial small subunit ribosomal RNA
Source: RNAcentral
GACGAACGCUGGCGGCGUGCUUAACACAUGCAAGUCGAACGGAAAGGCCUCUUUCGGGGGGUACUCGAGUGGCGAACGGGUGAGUAACACGUGAGUAACCUGCCCUUGACUUUGGGAUAACUUCAGGAAACUGGAGCUAAUACCGGAUAGGAGCUCCUGCUGCAUGGUGGGGGUUGGAAAGUUUCGGCGGUUGGGGAUGGACUCGCGGCUUAUCAGCUUGUUGGUGGGGUAGUGGCUUACCAAGGCUUUGACGGGUAGCCGGCCUGAGAGGGUGACCGGCCACAUUGGGACUGAGAUACGGCCCAGACUCCUACGGGAGGCAGCAGUGGGGAAUAUUGCACAAUGGGUGGAAGCCUGAUGCAGCAACGCCGUGUGCGGGAUGACGGCCUUCGGGUUGUAAACCGCUUUCGCUCAUGACGAAGCUUUGUGUGACGGUAGUGGGUAAAGAAGCACCGGCUAACUACGUG